RNA transcript from Osmia lignaria (orchard mason bee), 3433 nucleotides. It is a transcript of the gene named exocyst complex component Sec3, with no coding region annotated. The record is from RefSeq and is a predicted model, not a curated record. NCBI's taxonomy places the organism in Eukaryota, Metazoa, Arthropoda, Insecta, Hymenoptera, Megachilidae.
CAUGGCUAGUACUAGAGUCGGCUGUGGCGAGGCCUGCCGCCAAAACUUCAUUUCAUGGCUUUAUUUUAACUAGAGGGUAAGAUAUAACUGCGGAACUCUCUGAUUUUAAUAAUAAACAACGUAAAUAAAGAUCUAUGGAUAACUACGUCUGGUUGGUAUCUAUAGUACAUAACGUUAUGUAGAGAUGGCGCCACUUGGAGUAUAAUUGUGGCGUUCGAAGGUUCAAUAAUCACGUGGACGCUGAUUCUUUGGGGUUUAUAAAAUAUAUAUUUCUCGGUAGACCGUUACAUUUAACUAUCGCUAUUCAGUCUUUUUCUUUUGGACGUCCCUUAAACUAUAUCUUAUACCUAGAACGUAAACCUAAUGUGCCUAACUUAUAUGUACAUAGUUUGUGGCUAAAAAGGGGAAUCGCCUACAUAAUACAUAUAAAACUAAGUAGCGUAUUAUACUGUAGAAUACCAUGUAUAAUACAUUGUAUAAUAUCUCACGUAUAAUACGUGCUCAACCCUGGAGUGGAGUUUGGAGGGCCUGACCGACGGCGGUGACCUAAGGAAGUAUCAGAAGGCUAAAAUUUUAGUUGACAAAUAUUUAUGAAGGAUUAAAAUUGAUAGGUGUUAUUAUUAAUGUAGCAUUAAAGUGCUUGUAUUAGUUUAAAAUUAAUAAUAGAAUUAAACACGAAAAUUUGAAAUUAAGUUAUAUUAACCUACUAGAUACUGAAAAAUUGUUGACCAGAGUUUGAAAUUAUACAGUUUUAUAACUUUGUAUAAGAAGUAACAUUAAUUUUUAUAGACUUUCUAAAAUUAAUUCAUUAAUGUACGACAGUAAUAAAACAGUGAUGGUUUUAUAUUAGCCAUAAUUGAACUGUAUACCUACAAUUAUGGCAGCGAUAAGACAUACAUUACAAAGAGAAGUAUUCACACCUAGUGAUGAGAAAUUAUUAAGUAUAUGCUAUGUUAGUAAGGCAUAUAAAAAGAAAAAAACCAGUUUCUUAUGUUUAACUACAACAACAGAUACACCUUCAGCUUUACUUUUGUAUCAAGUAAAGAAAAAUGACAAAAAUAUAUUUAAAAAGAAGCAGUCAUGGUCAUUAAAUGAUAUUCAAACUGUAGAUGGAGUUAAAAAUGAUUCUAUGGAUAUAGAAUUUCAUAUAGAUAAAAUAUAUAAAUGGGCUGCAACAACAGCGCAAGAGCGCAAAACAUUUUUAAGCAAUUUAUAUACUUACUCUUGUAAUUUAGCACAAAGACCUCAAUUUAAAAAUAUUCCAAAAGAAUGGCUUAUAGAUCCCAGUUCUUUGAAAGAAAGCGACAGUAUUAGUUUUACACCAGAACUUCUUACAUCACCUAUUUCAUCCGAUUACCAACCAAUUACUGAAAAGGAAGCUAUUGAUUUGAAACAAAUGAUGGAAAACUGCAAAUAUGCAGUCUCUAAUGCUGAAUUAUUUAUGGAAAAUCUAUCUAAGGAUCUCUCAAUUCUAGAUGGGGAAAAUGUACAAUCAGUUUUGGCAUCGGAAACACGUGUAACUCAGUUGAUGAAUAGUAUAGAAGAAGCAAUAAUUGAAGCUUCAGUUGCUGAAGCUCGUCUUGCAACUUAUGAUGAAGCACUUGGAAGAAUCAGAGAGGUUAUGGCUCGUGUGGGCCAAAAAAAUCAAGCUAUUCAUACAGCUAACAGUAAUGCCAGACUUUUGUUAGAUCAAUUAAACACAGUAAUUUUACAACUAGAUAUUUUACCAACUCAUCAGCAUACUUUAAGUGAAGCUGAGCUUCCAGGAGACAAAGAAGAACUUAGUGAGGCAGGUGCUAUUCUUUUAAAAGCAGUAACUGCUUCUUUGCCACCAGGACUAGACAAAUUGAGUGCAGUCACAGAACAAAGAAGACGACUUGAUAAACUCAGAGCAAAAUUUUCCAUAAUUGUGGCCAGACAUCUAAAUAAUCUCUUCAUACAUUUGGGUAACGAUGUUGGGGAUAUGUCAAUGUCAAUAACUGAUUUAAUUCUUCCAACACAUCAAACAGUUCAUCAGGAACUUGAACCAUAUACUGAAUUGAUGCAGUUACUAAGAGCAUUAGAUAAUAAGGCUUUUGUGCAGUUAACCAAAGUUUAUACAGAUACAAUGAGUAAGUUGUACAAAAGAGAUUUAAAACGAUUUUUUGAAGAAGCUAAAAAUAAACUUAUUUGUAAACGUUUCCAAGCAAGCACAUCAAAAUCUAGUGGUCAAAAAACAGAAGAUUUAUUGAACCCAGCACCUAUUUGUCUAUUGAGUGGUGAAACAUGGGCACCUGUAGGAGAAGGAAAUCUUUUGGAUUCAGUUUUAGAUUGUAUGCUUUCGCAAAUGCAACCAGUUUGUCUUGCAGAACAAGCUUUCUGUAUUUUAUUCUUGCAAUUAGAUUCUGUUCUUUCCCCAUCAAAAAGUAGUGAAAUAGAAGAAACAGAUAAUAUUAGUAACGGAGCAGCAAGUCCUGAAUCAGUAACAUCUACUGCCAGUAAACGAUUAGAACGACAAGUUAACGAAGAAGUGCGUGCUACAAUGGCAGCCAUAUUUCCAUCAUUGGAAACUGAAUUAAAUAAUUUUAUCAAUUUUCUGGACAAAAUUGAUAGUUUUUGGUGUAUGUAUGUCUUAGUACGUUUAUCACAACAUGUUAUGUCAGCACAAGAUACUGGCUCUUUUUUAUCUAUGACGUUCGCUUCUGCUUUAAUUCAAGUUAAAAGAGCGUUUGACAAAUUCAUGCAAGCGCAAUUACAAUCAAUUCUAUGUGAUACAAAAGUUAAUCGUAGAAAUAAAUGUGGUAUAUUGCCAUAUGUAGAAAAUUUUGAGCCAUUUGCAAGAACAGCAGAAAAGAUUUUUAAGAAUUCAGAUAGAAAAGUUGACCUUGAAAAAUGGUAUACAAAAUUAGUGAGUACGAUGUUUGAAGCUAUUGUAAUUCACAGUAGAGAUCAUCAUAAAACUCCACAAGAAGUUAUUAAAAUGGAAAAUUUUCAUCAUUUGUAUGACCUUCUAUCACAAUUAAAAAUAUCUGUUCUUGAUCAUGAAAGGAAAGAAGCAAAACAAAAGUAUCAAGAUGCUCUACGUGCAUAUGUCACACAAUAUUUUGGAAGACCUCUAGAAAAACUUAAUGUGUGCAAGCUAAAGUUGGUGCUGGAGUUAAAGAAUCCGAAGUUAGUUAUCAAAUGGCUUUUAGUAAACAAGAGCUUAGGCGUGUUGUAAAAGAAUAUCCUGCUCGAGAAGUUAAAAAGGGUUUGGAAAAUUUGUACAGAAAAGUUGAGAAACAUCUGUGUGAAGAAGAAAACUUAUUACAGGUUGUUUGGCGUGAAAUGCAAGGUGAAUUUAUUGCACAGUAUAUAUACAUUGAAGAAUUAAUUCAACGAUGUUAUCCAGACAGUAUGGUAACACUUGAAUUUACUAUACAGGACAUUCUCGAAUUUUUUUCGGAAAUAGCGC